CCUACGGGUGGCAGCAGUGGGGAAUAUUGCACAAUGGGGGAAACCCUGAUGCAGCGACGCCGCGUGAGUGAAGAAGUACUUCGGUAUGUAAAGCUCUAUCAGCAGGGAAGUAAAUGACGGUACCUGAGUCAGAAGCCCCGGCUAACUACGUGCCAGCAGCCGCGGUAAUACGUAGGGGGCCAGCGUUAUCCGGAUUUACUGGGUGUAAAGGGAGCGUAGACGGCAGGGCAAGUCUGGAGUGAAAGGAUGCGGCUCAACCCUAGGACUGCUCUGGAAACUGUACGGCUGGAGUGCAGGAGAGGUAAGUGGAAUUCGUAGUGUAGCGGUGAAAUGCGUAGAUAUUAGGAGGAACACCAGUGGCGAAGGCGGCUUACUGGACUGUAACUGACGUUGAGGCUCGAAAGCGUGGGGAGCAAACAGGAUUAGAUACCCGGGUAGUC
RNAcentral lists this ribosomal RNA (440 nucleotides) under uncultured bacterium. RNAcentral's name for it is "partial 16S ribosomal RNA". It matches the Rfam family "Bacterial small subunit ribosomal RNA", at positions 338 to 795 of the family's 1533-position model. The record is from RNAcentral.